AAUGGGCGAAACCCUGACGCAGCGACGCCGCGUGGGGGAUGAAGGCCUUCGGGUUGUAAACCCCUUUCAGCAGGGACGAAGCGCAAGUGACGGUACCUGCAGAAGAAGCGCCGGCUAACUACGUGCCAGCAGCCGCGGUAAUACGUAGGGCGCAAGCGUUGUCCGGAAUUAUUGGGCGUAAAGAGCUCGUAGGCGGUCUGUUACGUCCGCUGUGAAAACCCAGGGCUUAACCCUGGGCUUGCAGUGGAUACGGGUAGACUAGAGGCAGGUAGGGGAGAAUGGAAUUCCCGGUGUAGCGGUGAAAUGCGCAGAUAUCGGGAGGAACACCGGUGGCGAAGGCGGUUCUCUGGGCCUGACCUGACGCUGAGGAGCGAAAGCGUGGGGAGCGAACAGGAUUAGAUACCCUGGUAGUCCACGCCGUAAACGUUGGGCGCUAGGUGUGGGGUCCUUCCACGGAUUCCGUGCCGCAGCUAACGCAUUAAGCGCCCCGCCUGGGGAGUACGG
This 504-nucleotide ribosomal RNA is filed under the name uncultured bacterium. RNAcentral's name for it is "bacterial SSU rRNA". It matches the Rfam family "Bacterial small subunit ribosomal RNA", at positions 370 to 885 of the family's 1533-position model. The record is from RNAcentral.